RNAcentral lists this ribosomal RNA (495 nucleotides) under uncultured bacterium. RNAcentral describes it as "bacterial SSU rRNA". It matches the Rfam family "Bacterial small subunit ribosomal RNA", at positions 30 to 521 of the family's 1533-position model. The record is from RNAcentral.
AUUGAACGCUGGCGGAAUGCUUUACACAUGCAAGUCGAACGGUAGAGGGGGCAACCCCUUGAGAGUGGCGAACGGGUGAGUAAUAUAUCGGAACGUGCCCAGUCGUGGGGAUAACGUAGCGAAAGUUACGCUAAUACCGCAUACGAUCUAAGGAUGAAAGCGGGGGAUCGCAAGACCUCGCGCGAUUGGAGCGGCCGAUAUCAGAUUAGGUAGUUGGUGAGGUAAAGGCUCACCAAGCCAACGAUCUGUAGCUGGUCUGAGAGGACGACCAGCCACACUGGAACUGAGACACGGUCCAGACUCCUACGGGAGGCAGCAGUGGGGGAAUUUUGGACAAUGGACGCAAGUCUGAUCCAGCCAUUCCGCGUGCAGGAUGAAGGCCCUCGGGUUGUAAACUGCUUUUUGUACGGAACGAAAAGGUUUCUAUUAAUACUAGGAGCUCAUGACGGUACCGUAAGAAUAAGCACCGGCUAACUACGUGCCAGCAGCCGCGGU